RNAcentral lists this ribosomal RNA (253 nucleotides) under uncultured bacterium. RNAcentral's name for it is "partial 16S ribosomal RNA". It matches the Rfam family "Bacterial small subunit ribosomal RNA", at positions 524 to 776 of the family's 1533-position model. The record is from RNAcentral.
UACGGGGGGGGCAAGCGUUGUUCGGAAUUACUGGGCGUAAAGGGCGCGUAGGCGGCCUGUCACGUCGGGUGUGAAAGCCCGGGGCUUAACCCCGGGUCUGCAUUCGAUACGGGCUGGCUAGAGUGUGGUAGGGGAGAUCGGAAUUCCUGGUGUAGCGGUGAAAUGCGCAGAUAUCAGGAGGAACACCGGUGGCGAAGGCGGAUCUCUGGGCCAUUACUGACGCUGAGGAGCGAAAGCGUGGGGAGCGAACAGG